This is a non-coding RNA of Theobroma cacao (cacao), 797 nucleotides long. NCBI's taxonomy places the organism in Eukaryota, Viridiplantae, Streptophyta, Magnoliopsida, Malvales, Malvaceae. The record is from RefSeq and is a predicted model, not a curated record.
UUUGGCCGACUCUUCUGAAUAUGUGAAUAUCCUACUCGAAGGCCCCUUGUUUUCUUCGCUUCUUUCUUCUCGUGUCCCAAUAAAACCCACGCUGUCAGGAUACUCUACAACUGCCACCACUCUCUCUCCAUGAAUAAAUCCCCAUCUGCUGUUUUCUCUAACAAUUAACAAUGCUCGCGGGGUCUUCUCUGUUGUAGAAGGGCACAUCAGAGUAGAAGUCCUAUGAGAGAUUUUUUGUUGGACAGAUGAGUUCCAGCCGUACAUGGCAACUCGAACAAUCUUUCCUUCAACCUCUCCCAGUGGAACCAUAGAGGAAGUUGAACUUUUGGGUUCAUCAUAAAGCAUAGCAUUUAUUAAUGAAUGCUUUAUGUCACAUUGUUUCUGCAGAUAAUACUAAUGCAGUCAAUAUCAUGUUGUUUAUUUCCUAUGGGGCUUCACUUGAGUCUUAAUAAUAUUUAAAGGAGGGAUGAGGAAAAACCGAAACACUGGAGAUGUCCCGGUGAGUGAAAAAUAUUUAGGCAAAAGCUUUUAAAGGAAAAGAAUUGAGGACAUUGAAUAGAUUGCACUAAGCAGAUACAUGAACAGAUUACUGGUUUCACAGGUUUCUGUACAUAUUGUCAUCUACAUUUCUUUAAAUCAAAUGCCAAGCCAUGGAUUAUUCUCUUUACUUAGCAAACAAGCAGUUCUCUAUUUACCUUCCAGAGCAAGAUUGAUGAAGUUAGGCCUAGCCUCAUUACUAAAUAUGCUGGUUGGUAUCAUCGUAUGUAACAUAUAUAUCUAUGAUUUGUUGUGGAUUC